CUAAGAGGAGCUGCUUUUAUUUUUUCCGUGUCUGGUAUUGUAGGUCAGAAUUUGAAUAGCACUGAACUGCAAUACCAGAUACAGCCCAAGAACAAGAGUGGCGCUGUUUCUGAAAGAAAACGUAUUUUUCUAGUCUCAUGCAACUAGACAUUAACUUAAAGGGGUUGUACGGUUUCCUAUAUUGAAGACCUAUUCUCUGAUAUCUGAUAUCCUGAGGAUUGGUCAUUAGCAAAGUAAACCGGACAACCCCUUUAAAUCACCCCAGCCUAUCAUUUUCUUUAAUGGUGCCUUUCACACCUUAGG
Molecule: long non-coding RNA, 303 nt
Organism: Bufo bufo (common toad)
Lineage: Eukaryota; Metazoa; Chordata; Amphibia; Anura; Bufonidae
Exons: 2
Source: RefSeq, a predicted model, not a curated record